Molecule: long non-coding RNA, 361 nt
Organism: Passer domesticus (house sparrow)
Lineage: Eukaryota; Metazoa; Chordata; Aves; Passeriformes; Passeridae
Exons: 3
Source: RefSeq, a predicted model, not a curated record
GGUAACUCCACCUAGAGAAAGACAGACAAGCUAUAACAUAUGUUACAAGGCAUGCUGGAAGAAGUGGUUUGUAUGGAAAAAAUAUCACUGUCAUUCAGCUGUUACCAGUCCUUGAUAAGUCAGCCUGUUUCACAGCAUCGUGGAAGCCAUGGCCAAUUGCUUGGAUAAUGACCUGAGAACAAGGCCCUCCCACCAGUAUGGUGCACAAGUUGGCUCUUUUCCCUUCUGACAGACACCAAUGGAUUGAAAGCAGCCAUUCCAAAGCCAUCACACCUCAAAGGCACCUUCCACAUCUGGCCAAGGAAUGGUUAAAUGGCAUGUACCUUAAACACAGCACAUUUAUAGAACAGUGACCUUAAGA